Molecule: ribosomal RNA, 492 nt
Filed under: uncultured bacterium
Lineage: Bacteria
Description: partial 16S ribosomal RNA
Rfam family: Bacterial small subunit ribosomal RNA
Source: RNAcentral
AUUGAACGCUGGCGGCAUGCUUUACACAUGCAAGUCGAACGGUAACAGGCCUUCGGGUGCUGACGAGUGGCGAACGGGUGAGUAAUGCAUCGGAACGUACCCAGAGGUGGGGGAUAACGCAGCGAAAGCUGUGCUAAUACUGCAUGUGAUCUGAGGAUGAAAGCGGGGGACCGAGCAGCAAUGUUUGGCCUCGCGCCUUUGGAGCGGCCGAUGUCGGAUUAGCUAGUUGGUGGGGUAAAGGCCUACCAAGGCGACGAUCCGUAGCUGGUCUGAGAGGACGACCAGCCACACUGGGACUGAGACACGGCCCAGACUCCUACGGGAGGCAGCAGUGGGGAAUUUUGGACAAUGGGCGCAAGCCUGAUCCAGCAAUGCCGCGUGCGGGAAGAAGGCCUUCGGGUUGUAAACCGCUUUUGGCAGGAACGAAACGGUGUCCGCUAAUACCGGGCGCUAAUGACGGUACCUGCAGAAUAAGCACCGGCUAACUGCGUG